RNAcentral lists this ribosomal RNA (497 nucleotides) under uncultured bacterium. RNAcentral's name for it is "partial 16S ribosomal RNA". It matches the Rfam family "Bacterial small subunit ribosomal RNA", at positions 28 to 507 of the family's 1533-position model. The record is from RNAcentral.
GAUGAACGCUGGCGGCGUGCCUAAUACAUGCAAGUCGAGCGAACAGAUGAGAAGCUUGCUUCUCUGAUGUUAGCGGCGGACGGGUGAGUAACACGUGGAUAACCUACCUAUAAGACUGGGAUAACUUCGGGAAACCGGAGCUAAUACCGGAUAAUAUAUUGAACCGCAUGGUUCAAUAGUGAAAGACGGUCUUGCUGUCACUUAUAGAUGGAUCCGCGCCGCAUUAGCUAGUUGGUAAGGUAACGGCUUACCAAGGCAACGAUGCGUAGCCGACCUGAGAGGGUGAUCGGCCACACUGGAACUGAGACACGGUCCAGACUCCUACGGGAGGCAGCAGUAGGGAAUCUUCCGCAAUGGGCGAAAGCCUGACGGAGCAACGCCGCGUGAGUGAUGAAGGUCUUCGGAUCGUAAAACUCUGUUAUUAGGGAAGAACAAAUGUGUAAGUAACUAUGCACGUCUUGACGGUACCUAAUCAGAAAGCCACGGCUAACUACGUG